RNAcentral lists this ribosomal RNA (1934 nucleotides) under human metagenome. RNAcentral describes it as "bacterial LSU rRNA". It matches the Rfam family "Bacterial large subunit ribosomal RNA", at positions 3 to 1988 of the family's 2925-position model. The record is from RNAcentral.
UCAAGUGAAUAAGUGCAUGUGGUGGAUGCCUUGGCGAUUACAGGCGAUGAAGGACGUUGUAGCCUGCGAUAAGCCGCGGGGAGCUGGCAAACAAGCUUUGAUCCGCGGAUGUCCGAAUGGGGAAACCCACCCGCAAGGGUAUCGCUGACUGAAUCCAUAGGUCAGCGAUGCGAACGUGGCGAACUGAAACAUCUAAGUAGCCACAGGAAAAGAAAUCAACCGAGAUUCCGAAAGUAGUGGCGAGCGAAAUCGGAGCAGCCUGUGCGUGAUAGUCGAUUGGCUAGUGGAACGGUAUGGAAAGGCCGGCCAUAGAGGGUGAUAGCCCCUUACACGAAAGCGAAUCGGUGGUACUGAGCGUACGACAAGUAGGGCGGGACACGUGUAAUCCUGUCUGAAGAUGGGGGGACCAUCCUCCAAGGCUAAAUACUCGUAAUCGACCGAUAGUGAACAAGUACUGUGAAGGAAAGGCGAAAAGAACCCCGGGAGGGGAGUGAAAUAGAUCCUGAAACCGCAUGCAUACAAACAGUCGGAGCCUCGCAAGGGGUGACGGCGUACCUUUUGUAUAAUGGGUCAGCGACUUACGUUCAGUGGCAAGCUUAACCAGAUAGGGGAGGCGCAGGGAAACCGAGUCCGAAUAGGGCGCCAUAGUCGCUGGGCGUAGACCCGAAACCAGGUGAUCUAUCCAUGGUCAGGAUGAAGGUUGGGUAACACCAGCUGGAGGUCCGAACCGACUAAUGUUGCAAAAUUAGCGGAUGAACUGUGGAUAGGGGUGAAAGGCUAAUCAAACCUGGAAAUAGCUGGUUCUCCCCGAAAACUAUUUAGGUAGUGCGUCAUGUAUUGCUCCAGGGGGUAGAGCACUGUAAUGGUUGUGGGGGCCAUCGCGGCUUACCACGCCAUAGCAAACUCCGAAUACCUGGAAGUAUGAGCAUGGCAGACAGUCGCCGGGUGCUAACGUCCGGCGGCAAGAGGGAAACAACCCAGACCUACAGCUAAGGUCCCAAAGUGUGGCUAAGUGGGAAACGAAGUGGGAAGGCUAAAACAGUCAGGAUGUUGGCUUAGAAGCAGCCAUCAUUUAAAGAAAGCGUAAUAGCUCACUGAUCGAGUCGUCCUGCGCGGAAGAUGUAACGGGGCUAAGCCAUGCACCGAAGCUUAGGCUGCACUCUUUGAGUGCGGGGUAGGGGAGCGUUCUGUAAGCCUGUGAAGGUGUCUCGUAAGGGAUGCUGGAGGUAUCAGAAGUGCGAAUGCUGACAUGAGUAGCGUUAAAGCGGGUGAAAAGCCCGCUCGCCGUAAGCGCAAGGUUUCCUACGCAACGUUCAUCGGCGUAGGGUGAGUCGGCCCCUAAGGUGAGGGCGAAAGCCAUAGCUGAUGGGAAGCUGGUUAAUAUUCCAGCACCGAUUUCUAGUGCGAUGGGGGGACGGAUCGUGGAAGGUUGUCCGGGUGUUGGAAGUCCCGGUUCCUGACCUGUAGGUGUCUGGUAGGUAAAUCCGCCAGGCGUAUGCCGAGGGGUUGGGACGAGCGAGCUUGCUCGCGAAGCAACUGGAAGUGGUUCCAAGAAAAGCCUCUAAGCUUCAGCUAGAAACGACCGUACCGCAAACCAACACUGGUGCGCGAGAUGAGUAUUCUCAGGCGCUUGAGAGAACUCGGGAGAAGGAACUCGGCAAAUUGACACCGUAACUUCGGAAGAAGGUGUGCCUUGGUAGCUUGAGUGUGAACAACACAAGGGCAAAGAGGUUGCAAAGAAUAGGUGGCUGCGACUGUUUAUUAAAAACACAGCACUCUGCAAACACGAAAGUGGACGUAUAGGGUGUGACGCCUGCCCGGUGCCGGAAGGUUAAGUGAUGGGGUGCAAGCUCUUGAUCGAAGCCCCGGUAAACGGCGGCCGUAACUAUAACGGUCCUAAGGUAGCGAAAUUCCUUGUCGGGUAAGUUCCGACC